This 1709-nucleotide ribosomal RNA is filed under the name Campylobacter jejuni. Its description in RNAcentral is "bacterial LSU rRNA". It matches the Rfam family "Bacterial large subunit ribosomal RNA", at positions 1223 to 2925 of the family's 2925-position model. Lineage: Bacteria; Pseudomonadati; Campylobacterota; Epsilonproteobacteria; Campylobacterales; Campylobacteraceae. RNAcentral also lists the same sequence under 4 other names. The record is from RNAcentral.
AAGUGGUAGGAGAGCGUUCUAUUUGCGUCGAAGGUAUACCGGUAAGGAGUGCUGGAGCGAAUAGAAGUGAGCAUGCAGGCAUGAGUAGCGAUAAUUAAUGUGAGAAUCAUUAACGCCGUAAACCCAAGGUUUCCUACGCGAUGCUCGUCAUCGUAGGGUUAGUCGGGUCCUAAGUCGAGUCCGAAAGGGGUAGACGAUGGCAAAUUGGUUAAUAUUCCAAUACCAACAUUAGUGUGCGAUGGAAGGACGCUUAGGGCUAAGGGGGCUAGCGGAUGGAAGUGCUAGUCUAAGGUCGUAGGAGGUUAUACAGGCAAAUCCGUAUAACAAUACUCCGAGAACUGAAAGGCUUUUUGAAGUCUUCGGAUGGAUAGAAGAACCCCUGAUGCCGUCGAGCCAAGAAAAGUUUCUAAGUUUAGCUAAUGUUGCCCGUACCGUAAACCGACACAGGUGGGUGGGAUGAGUAUUCUAAGGCGCGUGGAAGAACUCUCUUUAAGGAACUCUGCAAAAUAGCACCGUAUCUUCGGUAUAAGGUGUGGUUAGCUUUGUAUUAGGAUUUACUCCGAAAGCAAGGAAACUUACAACAAAGAGUCCCUCCCGACUGUUUACCAAAAACACAGCACUCUGCUAACUCGUAAGAGGAUGUAUAGGGUGUGACGCCUGCCCGGUGCUCGAAGGUUAAUUGAUGGGGUUAGCAUUAGCGAAGCUCUUGAUCGAAGCCCGAGUAAACGGCGGCCGUAACUAUAACGGUCCUAAGGUAGCGAAAUUCCUUGUCGGUUAAAUACCGACCUGCAUGAAUGGCGUAACGAGAUGGGAGCUGUCUCAAAGAGGGAUCCAGUGAAAUUGUAGUGGAGGUGAAAAUUCCUCCUACCCGCGGCAAGACGGAAAGACCCCGUGGACCUUUACUACAGCUUGACACUGCUACUUGGAUAAGAAUGUGCAGGAUAGGUGGGAGGCUUUGAGUAUAUGACGCCAGUUGUAUAUGAGCCAUUGUUGAGAUACCACUCUUUCUUAUUUGGGUAGCUAACCAGCUUGAGUUAUCCUCAAGUGGGACAAUGUCUGGUGGGUAGUUUGACUGGGGCGGUCGCCUCCCAAAUAAUAACGGAGGCUUACAAAGGUUGGCUCAGAACGGUUGGAAAUCGUUCGUAGAGUAUAAAGGUAUAAGCCAGCUUAACUGCAAGACAUACAAGUCAAGCAGAGACGAAAGUCGGUCUUAGUGAUCCGGUGGUUCUGUGUGGAAGGGCCAUCGCUCAAAGGAUAAAAGGUACCCCGGGGAUAACAGGCUGAUCUCCCCCAAGAGCUCACAUCGACGGGGAGGUUUGGCACCUCGAUGUCGGCUCAUCGCAUCCUGGGGCUGGAGCAGGUCCCAAGGGUAUGGCUGUUCGCCAUUUAAAGCGGUACGCGAGCUGGGUUCAGAACGUCGUGAGACAGUUCGGUCCCUAUCUGCCGUGGGCGUAAGAAGAUUGAAGAGAUUUGACCCUAGUACGAGAGGACCGGGUUGAACAAACCACUGGUGUAGCUGUUGUUCUGCCAAGAGCAUCGCAGCGUAGCUAAGUUUGGAAAGGAUAAACGCUGAAAGCAUCUAAGCGUGAAGCCAACUCUAAGAUGAAUCUUCUCUAAGCUCUCUAGAAGACUACUAGUUUGAUAGGCUGGGUGUGUAAUGGAUGAAAGUCCUUUAGCUGACCAGUACUAAUAGAGCGUUUGGCUUAUCU